RNAcentral lists this long non-coding RNA (785 nucleotides) under Equus caballus (horse). Its description in RNAcentral is "lncRNA (ENSECAG00000055014.1)". Lineage: Eukaryota; Metazoa; Chordata; Mammalia; Perissodactyla; Equidae. The record is from RNAcentral.
CUUGAAAACUCUCUAGUUAAAAGUUAUAGAUGAAGCCAUGGGAGAAAAUGUGAUCAAGGGAGAGAACGUGUGGAGAAAAAGAGAAUCAAGGCCAGAGUCUUGGGUGAUAACACUUAAGAUUUGGAAGUAAAAAGUGAACCCAACAAAUGAGAUAAAGACAAAGAAAUCAGAGACAGAGAAAGGAGCUGGGAGAAUGUUGUGCCAGAAAAAAAUGAAACAACAUAAAAUAUACCAAAAACUGGGAAGAGUAAGUGCUAAGAUGAUGAUGAGGUCAUGUGUGCUAAAGGCUACAGAAAUCAAGAUGAUGAGGACAGAGAAGAAUAUGCUGGAUUCUCUGAGUAAGAUUUCACUGCAUGGAACAGAAAUUGUUUAGAGAGGUAGAGGAGGAGAAAGAACUAUCUCCAGAGAGUGAACCCUGCUCCUUGAGUCAACUUCUUGCCAGCACUAGGCAAUCGGUUCCUGGAGCUGUAAAGAGGAGUCCGGAUCUCUGCAGGUUUCUAUUUUCCAACACAAAAGUUAAAGAAGGAUUAAUAACACGCACCUUACAAGUGGAUGAGGAUUAAAUGACAAUAUCCGGAAAACGCCUAGUACAGCCCGACCUAUGGGGAAGCAGCUGCAACCUCAACGUAUCCCAGGCUGAACCCAUCAACUUCCCCUACAAUCUUCUUCUGCUGCAUGCAUUUUCUCUUUUAGUGGCAUUGCAUUUCAUCACAUCACCCAGUUAUGAGGGUGACAUUGUCCUUUGCUCCUCUUUGCUUUUCUCCCAGCAAUCACCCAGUCCGCCU